CUUGGCAUGAGGGGGGAAGGGGAGAGCCAGACCGCACUGGAGGACAAGGAAGAAGAGGGGGAAGGCAGCAGCAGCAGCAGAAUGGAGGUGAAUAACUUUACCUUGAGGAGCUGUCCUUAUAUCACAGCAUGGGAACCCCAUUUGAAUCAGACCCUGUUGCAAAACACAGCUGCACAUACAGCGCAAUCUGAAAACUGUUCCUAAGAAGCCUUUGACGUGCUCAUCCACUGUUUCAUUGGAUGGCUUUGACAAUAUCCUCCCUCAACCUAAGUAUCCAGUCUGUAAAAUGGAACAUGAAUAAUUGGAGCAUUUGCCAGCUUUAUUGGGUGAGGACUGGCAAAUAAAGAUUUACGAACACUCUGCACAUUAAUCUUCCACGUGUGUUUAUGUAUCGGGUGAAAACUGUUGAAGUUGCUGGCUCUGCAGUGUUCCAUAAGUACUGGAAGAGACUUUCUUCAAGCACUGCCCUCCCCCUGCUGUUUCAGUUUGCCCUUUUCCGUUGGACCUUCAGAAUAAAAGACAACAUGUUACACCCAGCCUGUGGAUCUUUUGAAAACAUUUGAAUCCAGGGGAGGGCAUCUAGGAUAAAUGAAUUGUAAAUAUUCCUAUUAAUUAUUCAUCUUAAAAACCUAAGCAAAUGUCACAGGAAAACAACAAUAUGAGUCAAACUGCAGGUCACUUUUGUUUUCAGUAUUACUGUAGGUAUGUUUACUUAAGCUAGGCAUUACUGAGCAUCAAAUCAAUCUUUCUUCCUUUCUUUUUUUUUACUCAGUAUAAACCAAAAUAUAAGUAACUUUUCACCAAAGCAAACAAACAAACAAAAAUCCAAAUGAAAUACAUGUAAAAAUUUAUCACUUCCAAAUAAAGAUUUUGGUAAACCCAACCAAAUGCCGUAAA
Long non-coding RNA from Rhineura floridana, 897 nucleotides. RefSeq lists it as uncharacterized. Lineage: Eukaryota; Metazoa; Chordata; Lepidosauria; Squamata; Rhineuridae. The transcript is spliced from 2 exons. The record is from RefSeq and is a predicted model, not a curated record.